GCAAGGCCUUGCGCUCUUUGAGCGGCCGAUGUCAGAUUAGCUAGUUGGUGAGGUAAAGGCUUACCAAGGCGACGAUCUGUAGCGGGUCUGAGGGGAUGAUCCGCCACACUGGAACUGAGACACGGUCCAGACUCCUACGGGAGGCAGCAGUGGGGAAUUUUGGACAAUGGGGGCAACCCUGAUCCAGCCAUUCCGCGUGAGUGAAGAAGGCCUUCGGGUUGUAAAGCUCUUUCGGCCGGGAAGAAAUCGCAUGGGCCAAUACCCUGUGUGGAUGACGGUACCGGAAUAAGAAGCACCGGCUAACUACGUGCCAGCAGCCGCGGUAAUACGUAGGGUGCGAGCGUUAAUCGGAAUUACUGGGCGUAAAGCGUGCGCAGGCGGUUUUGUAAGACAGGCGUGAAAUCCCCGGGCUUAACCUGGGAACUGCGUUUGUGACUGCAAGGCUAGAGUACGGCAGAGGGGGGUGGAAUUCCACGUGUAGCAGUGAAAUGCGUAGAGAUGUGGAGGAACACCAAUGGCGAAGGCAGCCCCCUGGGUCGAUACUGACGCUCAUGCACGAAAGCGUGGGUAGCAAACAGGAUUAGAUACCCUGGUAGUCCACGCCCUAAACUAUGUCAACUAGGUGUUGGGUGGGUAAAACCAUUUAGUACCGUAGCUAACGCGUGAAGUUGACCGCCUGGGGAGUACGGCCGCAAGGUUAAAACUCAAAGGAAUUGACGGGGACCCGCACAAGCGGUGGAUGAUGUGGAUUAAUUCGAUGCAACGCGAAAAACCUUACCUACCCUUGACAUGCCAGGAACUUGCCAGAGAUGGCUUGGUGCCCGAAAGGGAGCCUGGACACAGGUGCUGCAUGGCUGUCGUCAGCUCGUGUCGUGAGAUGUUGGGUUAAGUCCCGCAACGAGCGCAACCCUUGUCGUUAAUUGCCAUCAUUUGGUUGGGCACUUUAACGAGACUGCCGGUGACAAACCGGAGGAAGGUGGGGAUGACGUCAAUUCCUCAUGGCCCUUAUGGGUAGGGCUUCACACGUCAUACAAUGGUCGGUACAAAGGGUUGCCAAGCCGCGAGGCGGAGCCAAUCCCAGAAAGCCGAUCGUAGUCCGGAUUGCAGGCUGCAACUCGCCUGCAUGAAGUCGGAAUCGCUAGUAAUCGUGGAUCAGCAUGUCACGGUGAAUACGUUCCCGGGUCUUGUACACACCGCCCGUCACACCAUGGGAGCGGGUUCCGCCAGAAGUAGGUAGCCUAACCGCAAGGGGGGCGCUUACCACGGCGGGGUUCGUGACUGGGGUGAAGUCGUAACAAGGUA
Molecule: ribosomal RNA, 1302 nt
Filed under: metagenome
Description: bacterial SSU rRNA
Rfam family: Bacterial small subunit ribosomal RNA
Source: RNAcentral